Molecule: ribosomal RNA, 342 nt
Filed under: uncultured rumen bacterium
Lineage: Bacteria
Description: bacterial SSU rRNA
Rfam family: Bacterial small subunit ribosomal RNA
Source: RNAcentral
UUGGCUCAGGAUGAACGCUGGCGGCGUGCCUAAUACAUGCAAGUCGAACGAGGCUCUUCGGAGCCGAGUGGCGUACGGGUGAGUAACACGUUGGUAACCUGCCCUCCAGACCGGAAUACCAGAGAGAAAUCUCUGCUAAUGCCGGAUGACGUCAUAUGGUCGCAAGACCACUUGACCAAAGGCGGCAACUGCCGCGCUGAAGGAUGGACCUGCGUCGCAUUAGCUAGUUGGCGGGAUAAUGGCCCACCAAGGCGAGGAUGCGUAGCCGAGCUGAGAGGCUAAACGGCCACAUUGGGACUGAGACACGGCCCAGACUCCUACGGGAGGCAGCAGUGGGGAAUA